UGAAAUCAAAUACAUUGUUCUCAUAAAAUACUUUUGUUAACAUCAAAACUAUAAGUAUAAAAUCAACUUGGUUCCAACAUGCUUAUCACAAGACCUCCUAAGUUUUGAAUGACUUCACUUGUGUCAUGGUGACUUAUGUCCAAAUCAUCAAAUGACCACAAUGACACUCAACUUGCCAAGUAAAUUUACUGUCAAAGAAUCCCAAACUUAGUAAGUUACAUCUAGACAUCAUGUCAGGCAACUUAUCUGCCCUAGUUUGAGAACAAAAAUUCCAUCUUGUUGAAAAAAAUUUCAAGUGGGUUUCACAAAGAAUAACCACAUCAGGUUUGACACACUUCAAAAUUGUAAAUAUUCAAAACCAAACAUGAGGACAAAUAAACAAAGGAACCGCGAAAAGACUUCUAGACAUGAGGUGUCUUGCAAACAAAGUCAACCUUGUUUUCUUCCAUCUCCUUACCAUUCUAUUGAGCAAGAAGCAUUCAUAAUCAUAUAUACAUUUUUGUUAUAUUCUGCAUUAUCAAGUGGAUCGGGAUCCUUCAAAAACUGGAUAUGGAUAGGUCCCAAUACUCUUAUUGGUAUAGUGGAUUUGAUUCCACGAGGAAGGUCAUGAUGUGAGUUUUCUCAUGAUGUUGCAAAGUGACCACCUUGCUAGAACUUGUGUUCUUGUCGUGGACAAGCAUGAACUAGCUUGGGAACUUAAGGUUGGCCUGCGUUUUUUCCUGUGGCUGAGUUCGUUGAUCCACCGUCACCGUUCCACUCCCAGUAUCUAUCGUCCCAUAAUUUUUUGUCCCAGUGCAUCCACGAUUAUGAUAUAUGCUUUCUUUGGUCGACAAAUGUCUAGAGAUGGCGACAACAAAAAAAUGUACUCCCGGGAUAUUCUGUGGAUAAAAUAUGUGACAGGUAUGAGGUGGAUAUUUUAACAGAUAUCCACAUAUAAAAAUAAAUUGGUAUUUUAAUUAUCUAUUGGUUAAUGGAUAUAUCUGAGAAUGUAAUGUUAUGAUGUAUUUGUG
RNAcentral lists this long non-coding RNA (1010 nucleotides) under Cicer arietinum (chickpea). RNAcentral's name for it is "long non-coding RNA (CARI_LNC000180)". Lineage: Eukaryota; Viridiplantae; Streptophyta; Magnoliopsida; Fabales; Fabaceae. The record is from RNAcentral.